Molecule: ribosomal RNA, 468 nt
Filed under: uncultured bacterium
Lineage: Bacteria
Description: partial 16S ribosomal RNA
Rfam family: Bacterial small subunit ribosomal RNA
Source: RNAcentral
GACGAACGCUGGCGGCGUGCUUAACACAUGCAAGUCGAACGGAAAGACCCUGCUUUUGUGGGGUGCUCGAGUGGCGAACGGGUGAGUAACACGUGAGUAACCUGCCCUUGACUUUGGGAUAACUUCAGGAAACUGGGGCUAAUACCGGAUAGGAGCUCCUGCUGCAUGGUGGGGGUUGGAAAGUUUCGGCGGUUGGGGAUGGACUCGCGGCUUAUCAGCUUGUUGGUGGGGUAGUGGCUUACCAAGGCUUUGACGGGUAGCCGGCCUGAGAGGGUGACCGGCCACAUUGGGACUGAGAUACGGCCAAGACUCCUACGGGAGGCAGAAGUGGGGAAUAUUGCACAAUGGGCGGAAGCCUGAUGCAGCAACGCCGCGUGCGGGAUGACGGCCUUCGGGUUGUAAACCGCUUUCGCCUGUGACGAAGCGUGAGUGACGGUAAUGGGUAAAGAAGCACCGGCUAACUACGUG